AUGGAAUCGGCGAACGAUACUCCAGAGCCGGUGGAGAAGGUGGAGACGGUGGCGGGGGAGGGGCAGGGAAGGGCGCGGGGGGAGACGCAGUCGGCGAACUUUACUCCAGCGCCGGCGGAGAAGGUGGAGACGGUGGCGGGGAAGGGGAAGGGGAAGCGGAAGAAGGGGAAGGGGAAGGGGACUAGGGGCGUCUUCUGCGGUCGAGGUAUCGAGUUGGGCAAUUGUGGACUGAUCUUGGUUCUUUUUGAGACGCAAUCUGGGUUUGCAAUUUUCACUUAUGAUGGUAUGAAUCUCCUCCUAGAUAAUGCAGUUGAGAAUAUCUGGGUAGAUUUCAUUGAGGGUUACUUGGCAAAAUCAAUGGUUUGGCUGAAAGAAUUUAAACGUCUUGAGAACGUGAGCAGCGCGAUCGACCCUGUUACCGGUGUUGACGAAGAUCUUGCUAUGACGAUCCGGAAAUACAUCGUUCCUGGGCAGCAACUAGCUGUUGGAAAGCCUGAAUAUAAAACCAUCAUUGAAGACAAGUUGGAAAUAUCCUGCCUGCAUGAUGAUGCGGUCAUGGAAUUGAUGUGGGGCCUUGGGAACUGCGUAGAGUAUCUAGUGCCUUCAGAAAAGUUGGAGCUGACUAUGGAGGGUCGCCUCCGUAUGAGUAAAGGAUUGAAAACUGUCCUGGAAAGUUAUGACUUACAAGUUGAACCAGAGAUGGUUAAUAAGCAUAUUAUUGAGACAGCAGGUGUUGUGUAUAGUUGUGACCAUUCUGUCAACAAACAUGGUAAGUCCUUGCGGGCUGCUGGUGAGCACCUUAAGAAGAUUUCAGACAUUGACUCGCAGGAUUGGUGUUUAAUUAAACUAGUGACUGCUCUCAAGUUAUUAUGUUACCCUACAGAGGAACUUCCUGGAAUUCCUCUUGAGGUUUUCUCAGCAGAGGAGUAUUCCAAGUUGGUGAAUGAUGGACCUAAAUACGAAGGUAAACUAUUGAAGGUGUCUUGCAAGACUGUCUUCAAAGAAAUGGUGUGGGCCCGUCGUCUGAGGAAUAGGAUGUUAAGACUCUUGGCCCAUUACGUGAGGGAGGCAAGAAAAGCAUAUGAAGAGGACCAAACUUUGAUGAGCAGCUGUGAGGGAGGCAAGAAAAGCAUAUGA
This 1137-nucleotide ribosomal RNA is filed under the name Triticum aestivum (bread wheat). RNAcentral describes it as "partial small subunit ribosomal RNA". Lineage: Eukaryota; Viridiplantae; Streptophyta; Magnoliopsida; Poales; Poaceae. The record is from RNAcentral.